RNAcentral lists this ribosomal RNA (287 nucleotides) under Prosthogonimus pellucidus. RNAcentral's name for it is "partial 28S ribosomal RNA". It matches the Rfam family "Eukaryotic large subunit ribosomal RNA", at positions 1 to 266 of the family's 3401-position model. Lineage: Eukaryota; Metazoa; Platyhelminthes; Trematoda; Plagiorchiida; Prosthogonimidae. The record is from RNAcentral.
UCCUGACCUCGGAUCAGACGUGAUUACCCGCUGAACUUAAGCAUAUCACUAAGCGGAGGAAAAGAAACUAACAAGGAUUCCCCUAGUAACUGCGAGUGAACAGGGAUUAGCCCAGCACCGAAGCCUGUGGUCAUUUGAUCACUAGGCAAUGUGGUGUUCAGGUUGUUCCGCAAAGGUACUGCUCCACCCUAAGUCCAUCAAUGAGUACGGCGUACGGACAUGGCCCACUGAGGGUGAAAGGCCCGUGUGGGUGGAGUUCAAGCAGGCCAGUGCCUUUCUGGAUAGAC